RNAcentral lists this ribosomal RNA (253 nucleotides) under uncultured bacterium. Its description in RNAcentral is "partial 16S ribosomal RNA". It matches the Rfam family "Bacterial small subunit ribosomal RNA", at positions 524 to 776 of the family's 1533-position model. The record is from RNAcentral.
UACGGAGGGUGCAAGCGUUAAUCGGAAUUACUGGGCGUAAAGCGCACGCAGGUGGCUGAGUCAGUCGAUUGUGAAAGCCCUGGGCUUAACCUGGGAAUUGCAGUCGAUACUACUCAGCUAGAGUAUGGGAGAGGGCAGUGGACUUCCCGGUGUAGCGGUGAAAUACGUAGAUAUCGGAAGGAACACCAGUGGCGAAAGCGGCUUCCUGGUCCAGCACCGACGUUCAGGCACGAAAGCGUGGGGAGCAAACAGG